RNAcentral lists this long non-coding RNA (2775 nucleotides) under Lupinus angustifolius (narrow-leaved blue lupine). Its description in RNAcentral is "long non-coding RNA (LANG_LNC002336)". Lineage: Eukaryota; Viridiplantae; Streptophyta; Magnoliopsida; Fabales; Fabaceae. The record is from RNAcentral.
ACCGAGAAAGUUCAAAGAAUGCAAAAAAAUUAAAUUCAUUACCUCAAUUAUGUGGACCACAUUUUUCAAAUAAUAUUUUGUUCCUAACCAACCAAAUAUUCCAUAUAGUGACAAACCAUAGUGAUGUCCAUUGUUUCUUGUAUUUUUUAUCCAUCCUCAACAUAUUAGUAUGUAAAGAUAAGUUGCUCUUGAUAUCAUUAGGGAUAACUCAGAGAAGACCAAACCGAUAAUAGAGGUUCUGCCAAAUAUAAUAGGAUUUAGGACAUGAGAAAAACGAGUAAUUUAUUGAUUCAUCCGCAAUACCACAAAUAACACAAAAUAGUGGGACAUGUGACCAUCGGUAGUUAUUUAUUAUUCAAGUAUGAUACUAAUAACAUCAUUAGUUCUGGAUAUAUGAUCUUAGGAACUCCUAACGAUUAAUUAUUUUAUGAUAGCACAAGAAUAUCAUCUGACAAGGACUUUAAUUUGUCAAAAGAUGGUAUAUACAAUACAAUUACGAUACUGGGAAAAGGUAUUUUAUUAAAGUAAUCACGGUACCUAAUCGUUGUUCAGAAAUGUGAUUAGAUCACAAAUUAGUUACUUUUUAAGAAUAAAACAGAUUCUCCACAAGUUCAUGUCUUGCGUAUUAGAGAUCAUGUAGGCUCUCUCAAGCCCCCAAAAGGCGUCCAAUACAGUAUGGAAUAAUAAUCAUCUUUUGUUUUCUUUAGAAAAUAAUUAAUUCUUAUUCAAGUAAAUAUAAAUUCUUUUUUAUUUAAGCAAUCUCUCAAACCUUCUUGACAAACUACUGUCAUUGCCUCUCAUAUUCAAAUUCACAAUAAUAUUUUUAUCACCAUAUUUUUCCAUUUUCUCUAACUUCGACCACAAGAAUACAAUACAUACGUACUAACCGAAGUUAGCCCAUUAUGUAUUUUAGUCAACGUUUUCUCAAUUUUUAGUUCAACAUGUAUCACCUAAGUUAAUCAUCUCAACUCUAUUGAAUUUUUAGUUUGUCAAGUCCAACAAAUAAGUUCAAUAUGCUAACAUAACACAUAACACAUUGUGUGAAUAGUCAUAAGCACUCAACAAAUCCAAUCUUUCCAAAUAUAUUACAUAAGUUAGUUAUCUUAACCCUAAUGUAUUUUUACUAUGUCAUUCCUCAGUUCGAGCUCAAGACACUAACUUAAUUAUGAAAUAUCAAUGAGUAAAGUCACAAAUAUCACUAUAGUUUCAAGUGCAGAUUAGUCAUAAGCUCUCGACCAACUCGUUGUCCAUCCUUAACUAUAAAAUAUUUUAUCAAACAAAAUAUUUUAGAGCUCUUAUCCCCAAUUACACAAAAACUCUAAUAUAUUUUCUUCUUUUCUCAAAAUACUACCUCUUAUUCCUCUCUUGUUUUUACUCCUCACGUAUUAGAUACUAAUUUUCCUAAUUCUAAAAAUUAAUUGAUUUUCAAUUCUCAUAUUUAAUAUUUAUUUUACCUGAAGAAAAGAUAAUAAUCUCAUUCAUUGUUAUUUAAACAGCAGUAGUAAUUACAGUUUAUAGGCUAAAACUAAUUUUAAUUAAGGAAAUAAAUAAUCUGAGCAUAUCUCCUAAUUAAUAUUAUAGUAUGUACAAAUCCCCUAAUUAAUACUAUAAAUAAAAAACAUAUCUUCUAAUGAUAACAAGAUUCUCCCCAUAUUACAAUAAUUUUUAGUACCCAUAUAAAGUUUUUCAUACUUUUCACCCCUAACUUAUAGCUUUCUUAAGUAUACUCAAACCCCAAAUUUGAAAUCUAUAUAAUUUUCAUACCACACAACAAUCCACAACAUAAUAAUUGCAUUUGGAUAUCUGAGUUCCAACCUUGCCAAAAACAAUACAAAAUAUAUAAUGACAACAAGCAAUAAAAAUUAACCAAAUAACAUUUGCAUUUUGGAUAGUUCAACAUGUGUGAGUACCUCAUAUUAUGGUAAAUAUGAACAAAUUCAUAAACAUAUAUUUACAACAAAUCAAAAACAUUGUGAGUACCUCAUAUUAUGGUAAAUAUGAACAAAUUCAUAAACAUAUAUUUACAACAAAUCAAAAAUUAAAAACUCUAUACAUUGUUAUGAAAAAAAUUAAAAACUCUUAUAUGGAAAACAUUUUUUAUGAGAAUUCAUAAUCUAUAAGACUCUCCAACUUUAAAGCGCAUAAAAGAACUUCAAUGAAACUCUAGAUCGCAUUGGUUUUCUCUCUCCCCUUAAUCACUUUAUCUCAUAACACAUUAACGCUAGCAUCCAAACUAAAUACUUUAAAUCAUCACAGAGAUAUAAAAAUGGUUACACCUUUACGAAACCAAUUUCAUUUAUAAAUCAAACUUGUAAUAGUUUAAAACUAUUAAAGGAGUAACUAAUUUAAAUAAUAAUGGUAGUAGUGACACAGUAAUAGUAAUAAUAGUAAGAGUAGUAAUAAUAUAACUAUAGUAGUAUUAAUAAUAUAGUAGUAAAGUUAUUUGAUAAAUAAAUAUAAUUUUCCAUGUAUAAUAAGUUAUAAUUAAUCUCAUUAUUACCUCUAGGCAAAUCUUGGGUGACAUUGCAGUUUUUGGAAAGACCCGGAUAUUUGAGGAUUCCAUGUUUGGUAUAUCCACAAAUCAGUGUGUGGUGAUGAAUUCAAGAUGUUGAGGCAUGAAAUCGGAGCAUUUAUCAAUUGGGACUAUAAAUAAAAGAAAAAGAUAAGAGAGAAAGAGUCAAAGAGGAACAAAGAGAUAAAGGAAAAGUGGGUGUGGGAUAUGAGAGCACAAAGGUAUUUUUGGCAUUUUUAAUGGGACCGACACUUAAAUCAAAU